RNAcentral lists this ribosomal RNA (720 nucleotides) under uncultured soil bacterium. RNAcentral describes it as "bacterial SSU rRNA". It matches the Rfam family "Bacterial small subunit ribosomal RNA", at positions 32 to 767 of the family's 1533-position model. The record is from RNAcentral.
AACGCUGGCAGCGUGCUUAACACAUGCAAGUCGAACGGUAAGGCCCUUUGGGGUACACGAGUGGCGAACGGGUGAGUAACACGUGGGUGAUCUGCCCUGCACUUUGGGAUAAGCCUGGGAAACUGGGUCUAAUACCGAAUACACCCUGCUGGUCGCAUGGCCUGGUGGGGGAAAGCUUUUGCGGUGUGGGAUGGGCCCGCGGCCUAUCAGCUUGUUGGUGGGGUGAUGGCCUACCAAGGCGACGACGGGUAGCCGGCCUGAGAGGGUGUCCGGCCACACUGGGACUGAGAUACGGCCCAGACUCCUACGGGAGGCAGCAGUGGGGAAUAUUGCACAAUGGGCGCAAGCCUGAUGCAGCGACGCCGCGUGAGGGAUGACGGCCUUCGGGUUGUAAACCUCUUUCAGCACAGACGAAGCGCAAGUGACGGUAUGUGCAGAAGAAGCACCGGCCAACUACGUGCCAGCAGCCGCGGUAAUACGUAGGGUGCGAGCGUUGUCCGGAAUUACUGGGCGUAAAGAGCUCGUAGGUGGUUUGUCGCGUUGUUCGUGAAAACCGGGGGCUUAACCCUCGGCGUGCGGGCGAUACGGGCAGACUGGAGUACUGCAGGGGAGACUGGAAUUCCUGGUGUAGCGGUGGAAUGCGCAGAUAUCAGGAGGAACACCGGUGGCGAAGGCGGGUCUCUGGGCAGUAACUGACGCUGAGGAGCGAAAGCGUGGGGA